Molecule: non-coding RNA, 26 nt
Filed under: Mus musculus (house mouse)
Lineage: Eukaryota; Metazoa; Chordata; Mammalia; Rodentia; Muridae
Source: RNAcentral
UAACUGAGGGAGCCGCUACUCUUGGA